Eucalyptus grandis is the source of this 1613-nucleotide long non-coding RNA. RefSeq lists it as uncharacterized. The transcript is spliced from 3 exons. The record is from RefSeq and is a predicted model, not a curated record. NCBI's taxonomy places the organism in Eukaryota, Viridiplantae, Streptophyta, Magnoliopsida, Myrtales, Myrtaceae.
CAUGUAUGCAAAGCUAGAUAGAUAGUAUGCAGAUGCACGAGACGCGUCUGUAUAAACUACACCCAUCUGAUGUUGGUAUCUGAGGAAAUAAUUAGACCGGCAAGCUUCCUGCCAAGUUGAUUCACAAUCAAAUUAUGCAUCCCAGUGUCAACACUUCAUUUGAUUACGUAGAGCACUCAAGUCUCGCACUUAAAAUCUGCUUUUGCUGCAGAGAGCUACAAUGCUUGGAUGUCGACCGUGGCAGUGAAUCCAAUUGACUUGCAUGGGAGCAUAAGUUGAAACAUCAAACAGAAAGGAAAUUCUUUUUGUCUUGAAAUGCAAUAUUUUCAUGGAGUUCAGAGUAGCAGGGUCUUCAGUGAAAGACAGAGCGUCAACACUCUUCACAAUGUAUGCAACGCUCCUUCCUAAUAUGAGAAGAAAAAGGAUGUGUGGCGUGAACAGGUUGUUGCAUAACUGAGGGCAAUUCAGCACAUGAUUUAUAGAGCAGAAAAGAGCAGCUCUGCUCCAGCCAGCAAUAGGUUAAACAUCUGAUGGAUUCAUCACAAACCUUGCAUGGACCAUCCUUCAUAUGACAGUUCCAGCAGCAGAGGAUGAUCGUGCAGGGAAGAAGGAAGAGGCAAUCAAGACAACCAUAGACCUCGCCCGGUAUGUUCUCUUCACAAGCUUUGCACCUGAUUCUGCUUUUGAGUUUCAUGUAGAAGACCAGUGAAUGCUGAUGGUCAAAAUUGUAAAACACCAAGUCCUUCUUGCCCUCUAGGUCUUGUGAACAUAGAGUUAAAGCUGUGCAGUCCAUGUUGAGGCUGAAUUUGCAUUCACUGCAGUAGGAAACCAUGGCAGGCGUUACUUUUAGCUCCUCCAAGUGAUUGAAAGCAAAAGAGAGAGAGAGGGUGAUCAUGGAGAGACGGGUGUUGCAUCUCUGGGGGAGAUUCAGUGCAGCUUUUGUGGAGAAAGAAUAUGCAUGCAUAGCAUCCAUAGACCUCCCCCAAGAUUGCUUGCUCCCAGGCUUUGCAUUUGAUUCUAUUUUUCAUCCCGAGAUGAUGGGAUGUGAGCAGAUGCUCAUGAGCAUUUGUUGGAUGGCCAAAUUCUGAGAGUCCUCAUUGGGAGGACAAGCAAUCUUGGGUCAUGCACUAAGAAUUGACGGAUCCGACUGUUAGGAGAAGGUUGUCAUAUAUAAAUGCAAAAUAUUGAUUGAUAUAUAUAUAUAUAUCACUACACUAGUGAAGUCACGUAUUUCCUUGUGACCAAGUUAGUUAGGAAUAUGGACGAGCCUUGAUAAGCCAUUCCCUCUUGGGUCCAUCCAUCGAUCACGUCUUACUUCUACCAUAUUAGACUUAGUGUUCCAGACAAUUGAGUGACUAAGUUUGUAAGGAAAUAAAAUGAUAGCGCAGCUUCAAGAUGAGUAUUUAUAUACCUCUUAGUGAUUAUAGAGUGCUCAAAACGAGCAAUUUCUCAAGAACAGAUCAGAGAAGGCAUAUAACCUUGGAGCAUAAUCACAUAUGUCAUUAUUUGAAGAGCUAAAGAGAAAUAUGCAAUGUGAUUUGAGGACUGAACCGAUGAUUUAGAUGUAGAUGGUAAUAAAUUCUUCUCUGACUCUGAAGGUUAGCCAUUUUGUA